RNAcentral lists this transfer RNA (86 nucleotides) under Amborella trichopoda. It matches the Rfam family "tRNA". From Rfam's summary of the family: Transfer RNA (tRNA) molecules are approximately 80 nucleotides in length. Their secondary structure includes four short double-helical elements and three loops (D, anti-codon, and T loops). Further hydrogen bonds mediate the characteristic L-shaped molecular structure. tRNAs have two regions of fundamental functional importance: the anti-codon, which is responsible for specific mRNA codon recognition, and the 3' end, to which the tRNAs corresponding amino acid is attached (by aminoacyl-tRNA synthetases). tRNAs cope with the degeneracy of the genetic code in two manners: having more than one tRNA (with a specific anti-codon) for a particular amino acid; and 'wobble' base-pairing, i.e. permitting non-standard base-pairing at the 3rd anti-codon position. Lineage: Eukaryota; Viridiplantae; Streptophyta; Magnoliopsida; Amborellales; Amborellaceae. The record is from Rfam by way of RNAcentral.
AGAAAGAUGGCCGAGUGGUUCAAGGCAUAGCAUUGAAACUGCUACAUAAGCUUAUGUUUACAAGGGUUUAAAUCCCUCUUUUUCCA